Molecule: ribosomal RNA, 898 nt
Filed under: Klebsiella pneumoniae
Lineage: Bacteria; Pseudomonadati; Pseudomonadota; Gammaproteobacteria; Enterobacterales; Enterobacteriaceae
Description: bacterial SSU rRNA
Rfam family: Bacterial small subunit ribosomal RNA
Source: RNAcentral
UGCAGUCGAGCGGUAGCACAGAGAGCUUGCUCUCGGGUGACGAGCGGCGGACGGGUGAGUAAUGUCUGGGAAACUGCCUGAUGGAGGGGGAUAACUACUGGAAACGGUAGCUAAUACCGCAUAACGUCGCAAGACCAAAGUGGGGGACCUUCGGGCCUCAUGCCAUCAGAUGUGCCCAGAUGGGAUUAGCUAGUAGGUGGGGUAACGGCUCACCUAGGCGACGAUCCCUAGCUGGUCUGAGAGGAUGACCAGCCACACUGGAACUGAGACACGGUCCAGACUCCUACGGGAGGCAGCAGUGGGGAAUAUUGCACAAUGGGCGCAAGCCUGAUGCAGCCAUGCCGCGUGUGUGAAGAAGGCCUUCGGGUUGUAAAGCACUUUCAGCGGGGAGGAAGGCGUUGAGGUUAAUAACCUUGUCGAUUGACGUUACCCGCAGAAGAAGCACCGGCUAACUCCGUGCCAGCAGCCGCGGUAAUACGGAGGGUGCAAGCGUUAAUCGGAAUUACUGGGCGUAAAGCGCACGCAGGCGGUCUGUCAAGUCGGAUGUGAAAUCCCCGGGCUCAACCUGGGAACUGCAUUCGAAACUGGCAGGCUAGAGUCUUGUAGAGGGGGGUAGAAUUCCAGGUGUAGCGGUGAAAUGCGUAGAGAUCUGGAGGAAUACCGGUGGCGAAGGCGGCCCCCUGGACAAAGACUGACGCUCAGGUGCGAAAGCGUGGGGAGCAAACAGGAUUAGAUACCCUGGUAGUCCACGCCGUAAACGAUGUCGAUUUGGAGGUUGUGCCCUUGAGGCGUGGCUUCCGGAGCUAACGCGUUAAAUCGACCGCCUGGGGAGUACGGCCGCAAGGUUAAAACUCAAAUGAAUUGACGGGGGCCCGCACAAGCGGUGGAGCAUGUGGUU